GUGGAUCAUCUUGAUCCAAAUUUCAUUUUGUUUACGGAAAAUAUUUAUUUAUAAUUCUUAUGUAAAAUUUUGGAAAUGACCCAUAGCCUGGAAAACAUUUAUCAAGACAUGGUCAAGGAAAUGACGACUUGCCGGGUAGCGCUCCGACCAACUCAGAACCACCAGAAGUGGGUCCUAUGGGUCCGAGAUCGACUCCUGAUAAUUAUUUCACAAAGAAGUUUAUAUUUUCCAUAAUGAAGAUCCAAGCAUCAAGCAACACGUCCAUACGGUGCAAUCCAUUUUAAUUAAAGAGGUAAUGAUACGUGCUAGUGUCUAAUUAGAAGCAAAAUGCAUACAGCACAUCAACAAGUAGUACGCACGUGCACAUCACAAAGAGCAAGCAAGCAAGCUCAAAAGGAAAAACGUGUUUAGCUGGUUGAACCCAACCUCGGCAGAAAUAUCUUUUUUUAUCCAACUAGUUAUCUUCCCCAGCUCUCUUCCUCUCUCUCACUGUCACUGGUAUGCUCAGCCGAACAGAACCAACUCAUCUCUCUCUCCCUAACUACAGAGCCCGCCGCCGCCGGCUCGAUCUGCCACUUCCGGCCAUCUCCGACGACACCGCGAACACCCACGAAAUCCCCUCGACUCCCUCUACCAUAUUACCCCAUUUAUUUGAUCCGCCGCUGCCAAAAUCGUCGCCACCACUCAAUCCUAGCGCCGCCUGAUCCAGGUCCGGUGGGCUUGCCACCGGCUGCAGCGGCAACGACGUCUCCAUGCCUACAUCCUCCCCCAGCGCAGCCACACGCACGAGGCGUGCAGCCACGGGCAUCGGGUGCGUGCGGCUUCACCGGCGCUGCUCGGUCGCCAUGGCUCUACUGCUAACGGUGUGGACUAGCCACAUCCUACUGCUACUACUGUAAGGUAAAGAGAUCAAGGUGAAUAGAUGCUCAUGGACUGAUUCAAACCGAGGUGGAGAUAGAUAAGAAAUCAAGCAGGAAGGGCUAACACAACAAGGUACUUGAUUAGUACCUGGUGGCGCAUGUAACCCAAAGAUCUUCACCGCAAUGAAGGACAACAGUAUGGCAGAAGAUGAAAAGGCAAGUGGUGGGGGUACUCCAGCGUAUGUGUGUGUGAGGUAGAAUGGUCCAGUGAAAGGGAUGGCUCCUAUUUAUAGUGGGGUGAAUAGCUAUGUCGGUUUGAAGACACAUUACAUCUGGCAUGCGUGCGUGGUUUUGCUUUAUGUGAAAGAAAUGAGACAAGGGUCUAUAAAAUAUAUGGAGGUUUGGAGAAGAAUUUGUUUUGCAUGACUAAAUGCUAUUUGAUGUAAUAGCAACGCCGUUGAAAUUAUCGUUAUCUUAUUUAUUUA
Long non-coding RNA from Triticum urartu, 1345 nucleotides. RefSeq lists it as uncharacterized. NCBI's taxonomy places the organism in Eukaryota, Viridiplantae, Streptophyta, Magnoliopsida, Poales, Poaceae. The record is from RefSeq and is a predicted model, not a curated record.